RNAcentral lists this ribosomal RNA (455 nucleotides) under Streptococcus sp. oral taxon 074. RNAcentral's name for it is "bacterial SSU rRNA". It matches the Rfam family "Bacterial small subunit ribosomal RNA", at positions 28 to 467 of the family's 1533-position model. Lineage: Bacteria; Bacillati; Bacillota; Bacilli; Lactobacillales; Streptococcaceae. The record is from RNAcentral.
GAUGAACGCUGGCGGCGUGCCUAAUACAUGCAAGUAGAACGCUGAAGCUUGGUGCUUGCACCGAGCGGAUGAGUUGCGAACGGGUGAGUAACGCGUAGGUAACCUGCCUGGUAGCGGGGGAUAACUAUUGGAAACGAUAGCUAAUACCGCAUGACAACAGUUAUUGCAUGAUAACUGUUUAAAAGGGGCAAUUGCUCCACUACCAGAUGGACCUGCGUUGUAUUAGCUAGUUGGUGAGGUAACGGCUCACCAAGGCGACGAUACAUAGCCGACCUGAGAGGGUGAUCGGCCACACUGGGACUGAGACACGGCCCAGACUCCUACGGGAGGCAGCAGUAGGGAAUCUUCGGCAAUGGACGGAAGUCUGACCGAGCAACGCCGCGUGAGUGAAGAAGGUUUUCGGAUCGUAAAGCUCUGUUGUAAGAGAAGAACGAGUGUGAGAGUGGAAAGUUCAC